UGGGGAAUAUUGCACAAUGGGGGAAACCCUGAUGCAGCGACGCCGCGUGAACGAAGAAGGUAUUCGUAUCGUAAAGUUUUGUCCUAUGGGAAGAUAAUGACAGUACCAUAGAAGAAAGCUCCGGCUAAAUACGUGCCAGCAGCCGCGGUAAUACGUAUGGAGCGAGCGUUGUCCGGAAUUAUUGGGCGUAAAGGGUACGCAGGCGGUUUAAUAAGUCGAAUGUUAAAGAUCGGGGCUCAACCCCGUAAAGCAUUGGAAACUGAUAAACUUGAGUAGUGGAGAGGAAAGUGGAAUUCCUAGUGUAGUGGUGAAAUACGUAGAUAUUAGGAGGAAUACCAGAAGCGAAGGCGGCUUUCUGGACACAAACUGACGCUGAGGUACGAAAGCGUGGGGAGCAAACAGG
This 403-nucleotide ribosomal RNA is filed under the name bacterium. Its description in RNAcentral is "partial 16S ribosomal RNA". It matches the Rfam family "Bacterial small subunit ribosomal RNA", at positions 355 to 776 of the family's 1533-position model. The record is from RNAcentral.